AUGUCAAAAAUAUAGUAAAUUGUGAUCAGUUUUUACAGACUUAAAACAAAAAAAAAUGCAGCCAUCUACAAAUUAAGCAAUAAUAAAACAUGAAAGGUUGAUAUUUGGUUAUAUUUAAACAAUUAAAAAAUUGGUGGGCAAAUGAUAUGUGUAAAAGAAAUUGAAAGGUGAAUAUCCAUUUUUCUGCAUUUUGAAGCAUUUUUUGCUUCCAAAUUACUUCCCUUGGAUUACUCUCUAGCGUUUGGAGGUACAAUGUGUAGGCACUUGUAGUGGUAAAUAAAUAGUUUGGUGAGAAAACUUAUCAAAGCGAGUACGGGGUGAUGAUUGGCAGUGUGGAAGAAGGAAAAGAGGCCAAGAUAUAAUGCAUAAGAAGACAAGAGGAUUCACCAAAGAGGAUGAAAAGGAAAAGGAACAAGAACAUACACAUGUAAAUCAUGACUAUAACAGAAUUCAAAUGAAACCUUGAAGUUAAUUUUGGAAAAGACAAUUUCAGGAAUUGGGACAGCUUAUAGAUGCAUUUCUCUUCAAGGUAGAAAAAAGUCUUCUUAAAUAUACGAGUGGAGAUGCAACAUCAUGAAGUUCAAAGUGCAAAGCUGAAUAUCAUAAAAUCUCCAAACAACAGUGAAGCCUUAAAAGUAGGAGAUAUCACAUCAAUUUUUUUCCUUAGAAAGUACCAUGAUGUCUGUUACUAAUAAUUUAGUUUCCCAAACGAGGAGCAAUGUAGCUGGCUUGUCAGAGUGAUUUCCCUGAAGAUGAAAUUGGAAAUGAGAAUAUUCAUGUGUGUCUUCAUACUGGAAAUCCUCAAGAUUCAACCAUAUUUCUAAGUGACUCAGUGACAUCAUUAUUUAAGGAAGCUCUUAACAGCACACUAAUGAGCUCUACUUGAAGGAGUAGUUUAAUACAGUAAGAGUGAUCUCCCCUUAGAAGUCAAAUAGAAAAGAAAUGGUUGCUUACCAUUUAUUUCACAAUUUGUAAUAGAUUAAAAUAUUUUAACUAGCAUUAUUUUAGACAAAGAGUAAGUAAUUGAUUAACAUUCACAUUAAAAUUCCCAAUAGUCAACAAUAGGGUUUUCUUGUAGAAAUAAUGCAGAUACUUGUUGAAAAUGAACUAAUAGUCUCAAUGUGCCUUUAUAAUAUUUUUUUUCCUUAAUUGAAAGUCUGCAGAUCAUUUUUUGAUACACAUGUAUUGUUAAGAGCUUCUUUAAAUUUCUAAUGAUAUGUAUUGCUUAUUAAAAUACAUUAUAGUUGAUAAUUUUGAUAAAGGUUGAAAAAUAAUUCACAAGCUAACAGUACUUGUCUUAAUUGUAAUACUUUGUAGCCUUUUGUUCUAUCAUAUGUAGAUAACUGUGUAAUUUUUUUGUGUUUUGGAUUUUGUUUCAUGUUCAUAUAUUAUAUAAGCAUAUAAUUAAGAAAUUAUGAUGUAGCCUUAUUAACUGCAGUAAUCAGUACUAGAGGACUAUUAUUUUUGUAUUGUGCUAGAAAUUGGGGGGGGGGGGUAUAUUUAUGAUUAUAAUUCUUGCCAAUAGAUAUGAAUAAAUAAUUUUUUAUGAGUCACUGACAAUAUCUCAUUGAUUUUAUAAAUUUUAAGCUUAAAUUCCUUGAAUUUUUAUUUUAAAAAGAAAAAUAUAUCUUGUUAUAUGAAAUGUUCAUCAAAGCUGUUUUUUGGCGAAAUGCCAAUUUUAUGAUUUUUCAUUUUGUUAUAGUCAACAUUUGUUGUUAUUUGCCCAUGAAUGUUUUUGAAUAUUUUCAUUAUUUGUGACAAGUACCUUCAGAUGAAAUAGGUGAUACAUUGUGAAAGUUCUGCUAAUUUUUUAUUUUUCUUCCCAAAAUGUUGUAAUUUUUCAGUUUUGACCAAAUUUCGAAAAAUUGAUAUUUUGCCAUUGUUUGACAAAGUAUUACAAAAUUUUCAAAUAAUUAUUAAACAUAUUAAAGAUAUCCAUUGAAAGUGUUGAUGUUGUAGUUUUAUAAGAUAUUAGCAGCAGAGUUCUAAUCUUAAAUUUGGGUUCAGCACAGAUGGUGUAAAAAGUGUGAUUUUAGCAAAAUUGCCAUACACAAAUUAGCCCUAUAUGUCAGAAAUUUUGUAUCCCGGUUACCAUGGUAACGGAGGAUGUCCAGAAAAAAAUUAUGCCAUACAUAUAAGUUUUACCCUAGGAAGAUACUAUAUGCCAAGUUUGAAGAAAAUCUGAGACUAUGCGUGCCAGACCCUUUCAGAAUUACUUUGGUGCUUACAGAGAAUUGCUCUUAAUAACUGA
This is a long non-coding RNA of Saccostrea cuccullata (small rock oyster), 2251 nucleotides long. RefSeq lists it as uncharacterized. The record is from RefSeq and is a predicted model, not a curated record. The transcript is spliced from 3 exons. NCBI's taxonomy places the organism in Eukaryota, Metazoa, Mollusca, Bivalvia, Ostreida, Ostreidae.